AUCCAAUGAGGGGUAGGGUAUGACUCAUUAUCAUGUGCCAUGAUUUUGUCUUCCUUUAGCUUUUCUUUUGCUUUGCUUUACCAUUUUUGCUUUCCUUUAGUCUUCCUUUAGCUUUUCUUCAAUAUAACACCAUUUUCUGUGGCUCAGAUCGCAAAACCAUCUUCAUGAAAGUUGUUCCUUAGCUCGUGAACUACAACAUAUCCAAAUUGGAGAUCCAUCGGAGCAGUACAACUCCAGAAAUUCAGGUAUGAUGAGUGAUUGUUCGUCAUUUGUAUAUCAACGCGUCAGACUUGUUGUGAGCUUCAAAAACUCCAUUUUCUCUUGCUCAGAUCAACAUACUUUCUUCAUCGAAGUUGUUCCUCAACUUGUGAACUACAACAUAUCCAAAUUUGAGAUCCCUCGGAGCAGUAUAACUCCAGAAAUCCAGGUAUGAUGAAUGACUGGUUAUUAUUUUUCUGUUAACCCGUCAGAUUUGUUGUGAGCUUCGAAACUCCAUUUUCUCUUGUUCAGAUCGGUAUGCUUUCUUCAUUGAAGUUGUUCCUCAGCUCGUGAACUACAACAUAUCCAAAUUUGAGAUCCCUCGGAGCAGUAUAACUCCAGAAAUCCAGGUAUGAUGAAUGACUGGUUAUUAUUUUUCUGUCAACCCGUCAGAUUUGUUGUGAGCUUCGAAACUCCAUUUUCUAUUGUUCAGAUCGGCAUGCUUUCUUCAUUGAAGUUGUUCCUCAUCGUCUCUUUCAUAACAUAUCAAAAAAUUCAGAAUGAACUAAGUGGUUAAAUAUUUCCAGAUCUUCGAAACAUCACAGCAGCUUCGAAAUCUGCAAGAAUCCGACUGUCAUGUUUGGAGCUUCAACACUUUAAUUUCCGUCGCUCAAACAGAAAUGGUUCCUUCUUGAAAGUUGUUCAUAUGCUCAAGAACUAUAGGGUGUCCAAAAUUCAGCUCCAUUGGAGAAGAGCAGAGGUUGCAGAAAUUUGAUAGAUGAAAGGAGGCGGAAGAGGGAGAGAGAGAAAAAGUCUCUUGGGUUGGAUUUCUAUUUUGGGGCAGAUUCCAAUUUUUG
This 1055-nucleotide long non-coding RNA is filed under the name Malus domestica (apple). RNAcentral's name for it is "long non-coding RNA (MDOM_LNC017388)". The record is from RNAcentral. Lineage: Eukaryota; Viridiplantae; Streptophyta; Magnoliopsida; Rosales; Rosaceae.